Molecule: long non-coding RNA, 1784 nt
Organism: Columba livia (rock pigeon)
Lineage: Eukaryota; Metazoa; Chordata; Aves; Columbiformes; Columbidae
Exons: 2
Source: RefSeq, a predicted model, not a curated record
CUUGGAGAGCAAUGCUGGGGGGCUCAGGAGGGGUGCUGGGGGGAUAAGGAGUGAUGCUGCUGCAGCGGGAUUUAGGGGGAUGCUGCAGGGUGGGGGUGCAAACACGGACCCCUCAGCACCCCCUCCUCAGCAGAGCUGGGUUUAUGGGUUGCCAUCCCCCUUGUCUUCCUUGGGGACCCCCCAGCAGGUGUCCCCUGUUCACGGUUCACAAAGCAGAGAGGCAGGAGUCUUAUUUCUCCUGGAGACCCAGCAGAUGUGGGGUUUGGGGACGUGGGUUUCAGGUGCCACUAUUGCCUUUUCACUUUGGGGAGGGUUCAUUCCUUGUUGUUCCCUGGAACAGCACUGCCUCGGCCAGGGAGGAGGGUUUGCUGCAAUUUUGGGUGAUUUUGGCCCAGGAGGGACAGGGCAGGGGACACAGGAUGUGGAGGAAGGGCCGGCAGCUGGUUCAACCCUGGAGAUGGGGUGUUCAGGCUGUGUAGCACUUUGCCAGCAUCAAACUCCUGCGGUGUCGAAACAUCCAGAUAUUUAUUUCAUCAAGAGCCUCAUCAAACUGCCGAGGAGGGAAUUAACAGCUUUUCAUUCAUCCCGUGGCUGAGAUGCUAAGCAGCUCCUGGGCUACUGACCGAGGAGGCAGCAAUGAUGAACGCCUCCACGGGCUGGAGAAGGUGUUUCCAUCCCUGGUUUUGCAAGGAGGCACUGAAAGCCCAGGUGAGGCGGAAGGGUGCGUCCCACACACGCGUGUCCUCUGGGGCACGGAUUUAAACACCUUCCCGCGGUGCAAACAGCCUCCCAGGCCCAGGGGAAGGUGACGUGUCCCAGCUGUGCACAGCUCUGAUGCAGCCUGGCUGCUGAAUCGCUCCCGGCAGGAGGGAAGCGUCAGGUCGGGGAGUGCAAAAUAGGUUUUAGUGUUGAUGCGGAGCUCUCGGGAAGAGGCUCAUCCCUUUUCGCAGCUCCUGGCAUGGCCAGAGACCCCACACUGACCCUUUUCCAAGGGUUAUCUGCAAAGGACUAAUCAUCCUGGCAGGUUCCAGCAAACACGUCCUCUCUGCUCAGCUCCGGCGUUUUGUUUUGUUUUGUUCUGUUUUCUGCUGGAAUGCUAAAAAUAAACCCAGUGGAUACAUAAAACAAAUGGAAAAUCUUUAAAGAGCGUUGCCGCUCAUCUGCCUGCAUUCAGUCCUUGCUGCUCCACCUGCUGAGCUGGCGACUGCCAUGGGUACGGUUUCCAAAACUGGGGCCACUGAGGCAGGGAGUCACUUUGGAGAGGACAGCAUGGCCCAUGGCGGUGUGCAGAGCCUGAGGACGGCACAGGUAGCAGGGCAGAGGUGGCUCCUGCAAAUCCUGACCCCCUUCACCGGUGCUGGUCAGUCCCCAGCCAGGACCAAGGGCUCCCCGCUUCCUUUGCACCCCAAAUUCUAUCAUUGACACUUUCAGCCCUGCUGUCCCAUGGGGAUCGCCCCUCUUACAAAGUUCUCUGCGGCAUCGCCUUAGCUCGUAUUUUUUCCUCGGAUAACAGGAGGAUGCUGCCUCUCCCACCCCCUCCAAACAGCCCCAGCUCAGGAAUUAAAUCACACGGAGGCGGCGAGCGCGGUGCCGGGGAGGAGAACUCUCAGUGCUCAUCUGCCCGGCGAGUUCGGGUCCAUCUGCGGGAUUUACAGCCACGGCUGCCGACGGUGGCGGUUUGAUUUACUGAGAGGCUGCAAACUUGACAAAGUGUAUUUCCCUGCAGGAAGAGCCUCUUCCCCUCUGGAAUUUAUUGCUUUUAAUUAAAAUGGCCGUAAAAAUGA